UACGUAGGGGGCAAGCGUUGUCCGGAAUCAUUGGGCGUAAAGCGCGUGUAGGCGGUUCGAUUAGUCUGCUGUGAAAGUCAGGGGCUCAACCCUUGAAUGCCGGUGGAUACUGUCGGGCUAGAGUGCGGAAGAGGCGAGUGGAAUUCCUGGUGUAGCGGUGAAAUGCGCAGAUAUCAGGAGGAACACCAGCGGCGAAGGCGGCGCUCUGGGCCGGUGCUGACACUGAGGAGCGAAAGCGUGGGUAGCAAACAGG
This 253-nucleotide ribosomal RNA is filed under the name uncultured bacterium. Its description in RNAcentral is "partial 16S ribosomal RNA". It matches the Rfam family "Bacterial small subunit ribosomal RNA", at positions 524 to 776 of the family's 1533-position model. The record is from RNAcentral.